This 720-nucleotide ribosomal RNA is filed under the name unidentified microorganism. RNAcentral describes it as "bacterial SSU rRNA". It matches the Rfam family "Bacterial small subunit ribosomal RNA", at positions 115 to 847 of the family's 1533-position model. The record is from RNAcentral.
ACGUGAGUAACCUGCCCUUGACUCUGGGAUAAGCGUUGGAAACGACGUCUAAUACCGGAUACGAGCUUCCACCGCAUGGUGAGUUGCUGGAAAGAAUUUUGGUCAAGGAUGGACUCGCGGCCUAUCAGCUUGUUGGUGAGGUAAUGGCUCACCAAGGCGACGACGGGUAGCCGGCCUGAGAGGGUGACCGGCCACACUGGGACUGAGACACGGCCCAGACUCCUACGGGAGGCAGCAGUGGGGAAUAUUGCACAAUGGGCGAAAGCCUGAUGCAGCAACGCCGCGUGAGGGACGACGGCCUUCGGGUUGUAAACCUCUUUUAGCAGGGAAGAAGCGAAAGUGACGGUACCUGCAGAAAAAGCACCGGCUAACUACGUGCCAGCAGCCGCGGUAAUACGUAGGGUGCAAGCGUUGUCCGGAAUUAUUGGGCGUAAAGAGCUCGUAGGCGGUUUGUCGCGUCUGCUGUGAAAUCCCGAGGCUCAACCUCGGGUCUGCAGUGGGUACGGGCAGACUAGAGUGCGGUAGGGGAGAUUGGAAUUCCUGGUGUAGCGGUGGAAUGCGCAGAUAUCANGAGGAACACCGAUGGCGAAGGCAGAUCUCUGGGCCGCUACUGACGCUGAGGAGCGAAAGGGUGGGGAGCAAACAGGCUUAGAUACCCUGGUAGUCCACCCCGUAAACGUUGGGCGCUAGAUGUGGGGACCAUUCCACGGUUUCCGUGUC